ACGUCCCUCGUGUGUCCUGGUCUAGCGUCAGGAGUAGUUGUAGUCCUGGCUCGAGGACGAACGCUGGCGGCGUGCUUAACACAUGCAAGUCGAACGGAAAGGACCCUGCUUGCAGGGUACGUCGAGUGGCGAACGGGUGAGUAACACGUGGGUGAUCUGCCCUGCACUUCGGGAUAAGCCUGGGAAACUGGGUCUAAUACCGGAUAGGAGCCAUUUUAGUGUGAUGGUUGGAAAGUUUUUUCGGUGUAGGAUGAGCUCGCGGCCUAUCAGCUUGUUGGUGGGGUAAUGGCCUACCAAGGCGGCGACGGGUAGCCGGCCUGAGAGGGUGGACGGCCACAUUGGGACUGAGAUACGGCCCAGACUCCUACGGGAGGCAGACAGUGGGGAAUAUUGCACAAUGGGCGCAAGCCUGAUGCAGCGACGCCGCGUGGGGGAUGACGGCCUUCGGGUUGUAAACUCCUUUCGCUAGGGACGAAGCUUUUUGUGACGGUACCUAGAUAAGAAGCACCGGCUAACUACGUG
This 522-nucleotide ribosomal RNA is filed under the name uncultured Corynebacterium sp. RNAcentral's name for it is "bacterial SSU rRNA". It matches the Rfam family "Bacterial small subunit ribosomal RNA", at positions 1 to 507 of the family's 1533-position model. Lineage: Bacteria; Bacillati; Actinomycetota; Actinomycetes; Mycobacteriales; Corynebacteriaceae. The record is from RNAcentral.